Molecule: ribosomal RNA, 498 nt
Filed under: uncultured bacterium
Lineage: Bacteria
Description: partial 16S ribosomal RNA
Rfam family: Bacterial small subunit ribosomal RNA
Source: RNAcentral
AUUGAACGCUGGCGGCAUGCCUUACACAUGCAAGUCGAACGGUAACAGGUCUUCGGAUGCUGACGAGUGGCGAACGGGUGAGUAAUACAUCGGAACGUGCCUAGUAGUGGGGGAUAACUACUCGAAAGAGUGGCUAAUACCGCAUGAGAUCUACGGAUGAAAGCAGGGGAUCGCAAGACCUUGUGCUACUAGAGCGGCCGAUGGCAGAUUAGGGAGUUGGUGGGAUAAAAGCUUACCAAGCCGACGAUCUGUAGCUGGUCUGAGAGGACGAUCAGCCACACUGGGACUGAGACACGGCCCAGACUCCUACGGGAGGCAGCAGUGGGGAAUUUCGGACAAUGGGCGAAAGCCUGAUCCAGCAAUGCCGCGUGCAGGAUGAAGGCCUUCGGGUUGUAAACUGCUUUUGUACGGAACGAAAAGCCCCGGGUUAAUACCCUGGGGUCAUGACGGUACCGUAAGAAUAAGCACCGGCUAACUACGUGCCAGCAGCCGCCGCCG